AAAUGGACUCUCAGCAACGGAUAUCUUGGCUCUUGCAACG
This 40-nucleotide ribosomal RNA is filed under the name Frullania fertilis. RNAcentral's name for it is "partial 5.8S ribosomal RNA". The record is from RNAcentral. Lineage: Eukaryota; Viridiplantae; Streptophyta; Jungermanniopsida; Porellales; Frullaniaceae.